Molecule: ribosomal RNA, 434 nt
Filed under: uncultured bacterium
Lineage: Bacteria
Description: bacterial SSU rRNA
Rfam family: Bacterial small subunit ribosomal RNA
Source: RNAcentral
AGCGAACGCUGGCGGCAGGCUUAACACAUGCAAGUCGAGCGGGCGUAGCAAUACGUCAGCGGCAGACGGGUGAGUAACGCGUGGGAACGUACCUUUUGGUUCGGAACAACACAGGGAAACUUGUGCUAAUACCGGAUAAGCCCUUACGGGGAAAGAUUUAUCGCCGAAAGAUCGGCCCGCGUCUGAUUAGCUAGUUGGUGUGGUAACGGCGCACCAAGGCGACGAUCAGUAGCUGGCUGAGAGGAUGAUCAGCCACAUUGGGACUGAGACACGGCCCAAACUCCUACGGGAGGCAGCAGUGGGGAAUAUUGGACAAUGGGCGCAAGCCUGAUCCAGCCAUGCCGCGUGAGUGAUGAAGGCCCUAGGGUUGUAAACUGCUUUUAUAUGGGAAGAUUAUGACGGUACCAUAUGAAUAAGGACCGGCUAACUACGUG